CCUACGUGUGGCAGCAGUGAGGAAUAUUGGUCAAUGGGAGAGAUCCUGAACCAGCCAAGCCGCGUGAGGGAAGACGGCCCUAUGGGUUGUAAACCUCUUUUGUCGGAGCACAAAACCCGGGACGUGUCCCGGACUGCGUGUAUCCGAAGAAAAAGCAUCGGCUAACUCCGUGCCAGCAGCCGCGGUAAUACAUAGGUGGCAAGCGUUGUCCGGAAUGCCUGGGCGUAAAGGGAGCGUAGGCGGUCUGUUAAGUGGGAAGUGAAAUCCCGGGGCUCAACCCCGGAACUGCUUUCAAGACUGACGGACUUGAGUGUAAGAGGGGUAAGCGGAAUUCCUAGUGUAGCGGUGGAAUGCGUAGAUAUUAGGAGGAACACCAGUGGCGAAGGCGGCUUACUGGAUUAUAACUGACGCUGAGGCUCGAAAGCGUGGGUAGCAAACAGGAUUAGAUACCCCUGUAGUC
RNAcentral lists this ribosomal RNA (460 nucleotides) under uncultured bacterium. RNAcentral describes it as "partial 16S ribosomal RNA". It matches the Rfam family "Bacterial small subunit ribosomal RNA", at positions 338 to 795 of the family's 1533-position model. The record is from RNAcentral.